GACGUCCUACGGGAGGCAGCAGUGGGGAAUUUUGGACGAAUGGGCGCAAGCCUGAUCCAGCCAUGCCGCGUGUCUGAAGAAGGCCUUCGGGUUGUAAAGGACUUUUUGUCAGGGUAAGAAAAGGGCGGGGUUAAUACCCCUGUUCUGAUGACGGUACCUGAAGAAUAAGCACCGGCUAACUACGUGCCAGCAGCCGCGGUAA
This 202-nucleotide ribosomal RNA is filed under the name uncultured bacterium. RNAcentral's name for it is "partial 16S ribosomal RNA". It matches the Rfam family "Bacterial small subunit ribosomal RNA", at positions 334 to 523 of the family's 1533-position model. The record is from RNAcentral.